UAUGGAAUGUAUGAUCUUUAUUAAUUUUUAAUCCAUCAAUCUAAAAUCACACAUACUAGAUCAAACAGAAGUACCACAGUAUGCUUUAUUUUGCAGGUAUUAAUUGGUUCUCUAAAUCGAUACAUCCAAAACUUUAGUUAGCAGCAAGCAUCAGUUCUUCCAAAGCAGCUUAGGUGAAAAACAAUUGUUUACAUUCACCAGUUCAAAGUCGUACUGUCUGAUCCACUGUUGUAUUGACAUAAAAUUGAACUCAGUAGGCAAAGCUAAUUGAACACUCAGCUCAUAGAUUUUGAGCUUCCUUUAUCUUAUUGGAGUUGAAGCAGUUUUUAACCCUCUGUUAAUAUUCUCUAUUUUAAUUCUCAAAGAAUUAAACACACAUAUAACCUUUAAAAUGCUGAUGGUCCUG
RNAcentral lists this long non-coding RNA (406 nucleotides) under Homo sapiens (human). Its description in RNAcentral is "HSALNT0285880". Lineage: Eukaryota; Metazoa; Chordata; Mammalia; Primates; Hominidae. The record is from RNAcentral.